This is a long non-coding RNA of Zeugodacus cucurbitae (melon fly), 2008 nucleotides long. RefSeq lists it as uncharacterized. The transcript has 2 exons. The record is from RefSeq and is a predicted model, not a curated record. Lineage: Eukaryota; Metazoa; Arthropoda; Insecta; Diptera; Tephritidae.
UCAGUCAGUCUGUUGGUUAAUUAGUUAGUCAGUGCGGUUUGUCGUCGUCAUCACUCUCACUUUUUUCCACAAGUUACUCUAAAACUGUUUUAAGUAGCAGGCGCGCAGCAAAGCCGAGUAGUGAGAGUGACUAAAUGGAAAAGCAAAAACAACCCACGGCGAUUGUCUCACCACAAUCAACAACAAAACAAAAUGUGUAAAAACUUCGAAGCUUUAACACAAACAUACCCAAAGAAGCAACAACAGCAAACAGUAUUGUCUACAUGCUUGCAUGACGUGACGGCCAGUUCCGUUUGUUGUUGUACAAAAAGUGUCGAAAUCACACACGAAAACCUUAUCAGCUCAGUCGUUGAAAGAGCGCAUACGGAGAGGCAAAGCGACGGCAAAGAGCGAUGAACAAUGGAGGCCAACAAAAACAAGUGUUUGAUACACUGCGAUCAGUAUACGAAUAGAAAAUUUGGAGGCUCAUACUAUAUUCAUAAAUACACAGACGUACAUAUGGUUAAAUAAAUUUGGAAAAAUGGAGCAGCCGAAAAUGAGUGCAAACAAAAGAAUAAUCGACUCAAUUUGAAUGAAUAUUAGAGGAAUUACGCUACAUUAUUCGAUGAGUUGUCGCUUUGCUCCCCACCAUUGUGCGAUUGUGAGUGGAGUGACUCUCACACCUGCGCCGCAUUUCUGUCGAAAUUCCGUCUUCGAUUUCCCUUGCUUAUGCACUGCAGCGUCGCUCAAGUGACCAGCCGGCAUUCGACCUUGUCGCUCGUUUGCAUUUCACGCGCAUAUAUACAGCUAUUGCUUCGUUUUGUUGUCGCGCUGUCCGCACUCACUCACAUAAUUUCACUUGCGCUCUUCCAAUUCGCUGCCUACCUAUCUACCUACGUGUGCGUUUGUGUGUAUGCAUGCACAUAGGCUUGUGACGCGUGCAUUGUCUGACCAAUGUAAUACCAGCAAUAACAACAACCACAUACACACGAGUACAACAACAAUUAUUUCCAUUAUCGCUCAUCUUGGCUUUUGAACCGCUACACCGCUGUCGUCUCGUUGACGUCGCGUCGCUGCUUUGAAAAGUUAUUUGCAGUGUGCUUUUACUCGAGACUCGUCGGGCACAGCACACCGUAUAUUUUUCAUUCGCAGUGCUCGCCGGCCGCUGGCAGUCAUUUGCUGUUUGCCUGUUAAAUAAAAUUUAUAAUUUAAUUUAUUUAAAAAAUUAUUUCAAAAGUAAACAUUCGACGAUGAAGAAGACACCAGCAGCAAAGGCACAGACAGACAGGCAUGUAGACAGUGCGCACUGUGGAUGUUGUUGCUGCUGGCGUGUAUGUGGUAGGAGGUGAGCUCUGACGCGACGCUCGCAUUCCAAGUACUGCAUUAAUUUUAAAAUUUUCCUGUCUGGCACUGUCAGCCAUGUUUACACUCAUUUGCAAGUCGCAGCCAAGGCAGAGCCGACGGAGUUAGAGUUCACACUGGCAGUAUUUGCAUUUUACUCUGUUGCUGUCUGUCUGAAAAGCCGAAAAUUCGUCAAGUAAAUUUGAUGAAAAGCCAACACCAAGUGGAAUAGUGGAAUAGGCAAAGCGCGAGUGCCCAAGUUGUGUGUGCGUGUGAAGCAAAUGUUAUUUUAAUUACAAAAUGUUUCAAAGUUUCCAAGUAGAAUUCGGUCUGACAGCCUUGGCAUAGCAUUAUGCAUAGUUAUUGCAGCGCUUGUACGACUGAGCAACGAAAAUUUAGAUUUUUUGUUAAUGCGAAGUCGCACCAUGUGCCUUCUUGAAGCACUAAAUUGGCGUCAAAAUCUGCCAACACAAGCUGUAGUACUAAUAACUGAAGAAAAUCGAAAAAGCGUGCAUCGAUGAUGAAUAGUUUUUUCAUACGGCACUGAGGUGAAGCAAUCCUAGCUCAUUAUAAACAUAGACAUUCUUAUGCUGCAACUACUUACUGUUUUGUUCUAAUUCUAAUAGAAACUAAUAUUUGCUGUGAAAUCUUUAUAAAAAUAAAAAUAAAAUAAUAUAAAAAGUCUAAA